Molecule: ribosomal RNA, 497 nt
Filed under: uncultured bacterium
Lineage: Bacteria
Description: partial 16S ribosomal RNA
Rfam family: Bacterial small subunit ribosomal RNA
Source: RNAcentral
GAUGAACGCUGGCGGCGUGCCUAAUACAUGCAAGUCGAGCGAACAGACGAGGAGCUUGCUUCUCUGACGUUAGCGGCGGACGGGUGAGUAACACGUGGAUAACCUACCUAUAAGACUGGGAUAACUUCGGGAAACCGGAGCUAAUACCGGAUAACAUGUUGAACCGCAUGGUUCAACAGUGAAAGACGGUCUUGCUGUCACUUAUAGAUGGAUCCGCGCCGCAUUAGCUAGUUGGUAAGGUAACGGCUUACCAAGGCAACGAUGCGUAGCCGACCUGAGAGGGUGAUCAGCCACACUGGAACUGAGACACGGUCCAGACUCCUACGGGAGGCAGCAGUAGGGAAUCUUCCGCAAUGGGCGAAAGCCUGACGGAGCAACGCCGCGUGAGUGAAGAAGGUCUUCGGAUCGUAAAACUCUGUUAUUAGGGAAGAACAAAUGUGUAAGUAACUAUGCACGUCUUGACGGUACCUAAUCAGAAAGCCACGGCUAACUACGUG